CUCGCGCCUAAUGACAGGUCGGAAACGGCCGGGCGGCGUCCGCGCCGCAGCAGACAGAGAUCACCGCGUCUGUGGGACUUCA
This 82-nucleotide non-coding RNA is filed under the name unclassified sequences. The record is from RNAcentral.